RNAcentral lists this ribosomal RNA (228 nucleotides) under uncultured bacterium. Its description in RNAcentral is "partial 16S ribosomal RNA". It matches the Rfam family "Bacterial small subunit ribosomal RNA", at positions 568 to 796 of the family's 1533-position model. The record is from RNAcentral.
UGCGUAGGCGGAUAGAUAAGUCAGAGGUGAAAGCCUCCCGCUCAACGGGAGAACUGCCUUUGAUACUGUUUAUCUUGAAUGAGGUUGAGGUAGCGGAAUGUGACAUGUAGCGGUGAAAUGCAUAGAUAUGUCAUAGAACACCAAUUGCGUAGGCAGCUAGCUAGGCCUUUAUUGACGCUGAGGCACGAAAGCAUGGGGAGCGAACAGGAUUAGAUACCCUGGUAGUCC